Molecule: long non-coding RNA, 1219 nt
Organism: Macadamia integrifolia
Lineage: Eukaryota; Viridiplantae; Streptophyta; Magnoliopsida; Proteales; Proteaceae
Exons: 2
Source: RefSeq, a predicted model, not a curated record
UGAUUAGUAUGCUACCCGAUCCAAUUGACGGGGCCGAUGACUCCACCGCGCAGUGAAGAGUCACGAUCUUCAACGUGUGGGCAACACCGAAGAUUGAACAGGUCGAACUCUGUGUCAUCUUCGGCGGCUGUUUCUCUUUUCUUUUUGUGUUUCUCCAUUUGAGAAUUGAACCUCAUCAGAUCUUCACUGGCCGGUGAGGGGAGACUAAUCGAAGGAAUCGUAAUCUCUCGCUAUAGCCAACGCUUGCUCUUGCUUCAUCCCAUCUUCAGACUACUGAAUCAUCUUGAUUUAUUCACAAUUGGAUUGGAACACUACGCAGUUUUUCCCAGUCUGUAUGUAAUCUCUACGCAUCAAGCUUACAGCAGGGAGGGAUUUCAGAUAGUUUAGCAAUUUCAGAUCGAUUAUGUUUUGCCCUUUUGCAGAAAAACCUAAUUUUCUCCUGCGUUGAUGGUAGAUCACCGAGAAGACGGACGGCGAAUUGGUACAAAGCGAUGCUACCAGAAUAUUCCUUGGAUUCCCCACCGCUAUGACCACGUCAAGUAAUUAUCGGUAAUCAUAGCCGUCGCUGGUGUUUCAAGCUGGUCCAGAAACUCCUCGAAUGGACCUUCCAUCCUCGUCAUUACGGCUUCCACGAAGUCGACGGCACGGCCCUUCUCCAACGAUGUGACGUUGGGGAUAGAGCAUAGCCGUAAAUUAGUAGGCUUGGGAUCGGAGCCUAUGAAGCCCAGCCACUCUUCCGUGACCACGAAGGUGAUUACAAUAUCACCCUCAUCAUCACCAAUAAGAGGCGUCAGGUCUGAGAGCAGGGAGAAAGAAGGUUCAAUCUGUUCAAUCUCCGGCGUUGCCCACAAGUUGAAGAUCCUGACUCUUCACUGCGCGGUGGAGUCCUCGGCGCCGUCGGCUGUAUCGGGUAGCAGACUUAACAGCUAAAGGAAAGGGGGUUUUUCGGUCAUUAGAAAAAAACUGCAAAACUUAACAGUCAUAAUAAAUGUCCAGGCACGGUAGAUAGAAUCUUUUCACUUGAGAGGAGAGAAUGAAAUAUUUGCAAAAACAUAGGGAACUUGAUAUAUAUUUAGCUAUAGUUAAGGGGAGGGGAGUGAUAAUUACUCUUGAAUAGAUAAUAGAUGAUUUGGAUUAGUUACAUAUCAAAUUUCAAAGCAUAAUGUAAAUUUUUGAUCAUUUUGGUAAGUUUAUUAAAGUACAUUGUAUCUUCUUAGUA